CCAGCUACAGAAUUCCCUUAAGCCAAAGCCUAUUCCAGAGCAAGGCCCUAACUCUUUUCUGAAGAAGCUGCAGAAGAAAAGUUUGAAGCAAACAGAAGUUGGUUCAUGAAGCUUAAGGAAAGAGGCCAUUUCCAUAACAUAAAAGUGUAAGGUGAAGCAGCAAGUGCUGAUGUAGAAACUGAGGCAAGUUAUGCAGAAGAUCUAGCUAAGACCAAUCAUGAAGGUGGCCACACUAAACAACAGAAUUUCAAUGGAGAUGAAACAGCCUUCUAUUGGAAGAAGAUGCCAGCUAGGACUUUUGUAGCUGGAGAGGAGAAGUCAAUGCCUGGCUUAAAGCUUUAUAGGACAGGCUGACUUUUUUAUGAGGGGCCAAUGGAGCUGGUGACUUUAAAUUGAAGCCCGUGCUUACUUACCAUUAUGAAAAUCCUAGGGCUUUUCAGAAUUAUGCUAAUUCUACUCUGCCUAUGCUCUAUAAGUGGAACAACAAAGCCUGGAUAACAGUGUGUCUGUUUACAACAUGGUUUACUGAAUACUUUCAGCCCACUGUUGAGAUCUACUGCUAAGAAAAAAAAAUUCUUUUCAAAAUAUUACUGCUUAUUGUUAAUGCACCUGGUCACACAAGAACUCUGAUAGAGAUGUACAAUGAGAUUAGUGUUGUUUUCAUGCCUGCUAACCCAGUACCCAAGCUGCAGCCCAUGGAUCAAGGAGUACUCUCACCUUUCAAAUCUUAUUAUUUAAGAAACACAUUUCAUAAGGCUAUAGCUGCCAUAGGUAGUGAUUCACAUGGUGGAUCUGGACAAAGUCAAUUAAAAUCUCUGGAAAGGAUUCAACAUUUCAUAUACAAUUAAGAACAUUCAUGAUUUAUGGAAUAAGGUCAAAAUAUCAACAUCAACAGGAGUUUGGAAGAAGUUGAUCCCAACCCUCAUGGAUGACUUUGAGGAGUUCAAGAUUUCAGUGGAUGAAGUAACACAGAUGUGGAGGAAAGAGCAAAAGAUCUAGAAUUAGAAGUGGAGACUGAAGAUGUACUGAACUGCCUCAACAUCUUGAUAAAUCUUCAGUGAUUGAAGAGUUGCUUCCUAUAGAUGAACAAAGAAAGUGGUUUCUUGAGAUAGAAACUAUGGAGCUGCUAUGAAGAUUGUUGCAGUGACAACAAAGGAUUUAGAAUAUUUCAUAAACUUAAUUGAUAAAGCAGUGGCAGCAUUUGAGAGGAUUGAUUCCAAUUUUGAAAGAAGUUCUACUGAGGGCAAAAUGCUGUCAAACUGUACCACAUGCUAUGGAGAGAUUGUUUGUGAAAGGAAAAGUCAGUUAAUGCAGCAAACUUUAUUGUUGUCUUCUCAGAAAUUGCCACAGACACUCCAGCCCUCGGCAAAUGCCACCCUGAUCAGUCAGUGACCGUCACCAUUGAGGUGACUUUCUAAUUGCUGACCUAUGGGGAGACAACAUUUCUAAAUGUUCAACAACAACCAAGGAUGGUCACAAUCUUCUGACUCUAAGAAGACAAAAUGAAGCCCUUUCUGACUAUGAAAUGGCCAUGUGCACUGAGUAACUAGGAAACUGAAGCGUAGAGAAAUCAUGUGGCUUAUCUAAAGGUAACCAGUUGUUAACAAAAUCAGAAGAAAAGUAAGUUCUCUUGAAUUCUUAUGUAGCUUUUCUUUACUGUUAAAAUUUGAAUUUUAAUAUUUGAAUUAUCCAUAUGAUUUCUUUUUAUUGGUUAAAGUGCCCUGGAUCACUUAUCACUUCAUCUGACCUAACUCAUGUAUAUGAAGAUACUAGUGCCAAACCUUUCCUAGAUUCCCCCUUCUCUGAGCUCAUGAUAACCUUAAAUCCCAGUACGUAAGACUUUCAAUCUCUUAGACAGUUGAUUAUGCCAAAUGCUUAGCAUGCGGCCAAUAGAUGACUCCAGGCUAUUGAUGAUUUCAUUAAAUCUUUCCCAAUCUAUUUAUUUACACAAUUUCAGCUGGAAAAAAAAUGCACUGAAAUGAAACAUCUCAUUUCCAGUCCUGGCCUGAGGCAAAAGGAGACAAUGAUACAUAUCCCCAAUUUAGACUAGACAAAACUAGCUACAUUUCAAAUAGAGAAUUCACAUUGUGAGUUUAAAACCAAGUUAACCUGAAACGAGACAUUUUCUCCCUGUAUAUCUGUGCACAGCUUCAGUUGAUGGAACUAUGAACUGUGUAUCUGAACCAAAGGACCAAAUUUUUCUAAAGAAAUGUUAAAACUGGCAAAUUAACUCAAACACUGCCUUAGAGUUUCCCCCUUUUUCUUUCCUGUUGUGGUGGUCACUGUGGCAUUCACUGGUGGCAGACAAAUGAAAAAGUGUUUUAUUGAAUUAUCUUGAUUGCCAUAUUGAUCAUUUUUUGUUGCUUUUGUUCCUAAGCACAGAAAGGAAAAAAAAAAAAAAAAAAAAAAAAAAAAAAAAAA
Long non-coding RNA from Felis catus (domestic cat), 2421 nucleotides. RefSeq lists it as uncharacterized. Lineage: Eukaryota; Metazoa; Chordata; Mammalia; Carnivora; Felidae. The transcript is spliced from 3 exons. The record is from RefSeq and is a predicted model, not a curated record.